Molecule: ribosomal RNA, 429 nt
Filed under: uncultured archaeon
Lineage: Archaea
Description: bacterial SSU rRNA
Rfam family: Archaeal small subunit ribosomal RNA
Source: RNAcentral
UACCAGCUCUCCGAGUGGUGUGGAUGUUUAUUGGGCCUAAAGCAUCCGUAGCUGGCUGGACAAGUCCCCUGUUAAAUCCACCGAUUUAAUCGUUGGUGUGCGGGGGAUACUGUUCGGAUAGGGGACGGGAGAGGCCGACGGUAUUUCCGGGGUAGGGGUGAAAUCCUAUAAUCCCGGGAAGACCACCAGUGGCGAAGGCUGUCGGCUAGAACGCGCCCGACGGUGAGGGAUGAAAGCUGGGGGAGCGAACCGGAUUAGAUACCCGGGUAGUCCCAGCUGUAAACGAUGCAGGCUAGGUGUUUGGGCGGCCACGGGCCACUUCAGUGCCGCAGGAAAGCCAUUAAGCCCGCCGCCUGGGGAGUACGGCCGCAAGGCUGAAACUUAAAGGAAUUGGCGGGGGAGCACCACAAGGCGUGAAGCUUGCGGUUC